Molecule: non-coding RNA, 123 nt
Organism: Anaerobacillus alkalilacustris
Lineage: Bacteria; Bacillati; Bacillota; Bacilli; Caryophanales; Bacillaceae
Source: Rfam
CAAUGCAAGAAGAAGCGCCCGCUUCUCACCUGACUGACUAAUGAAGUUUGUAGGUUACUAAAAUGUUUAAGUAAUGAACAGUAUAGGUGUGGGCGCAAUAUGUGCUCACACCUUUUUUAUGCU